ACUGCAUGAAGAUUCUUUUGUGUUUCCAGGGACCACUGAUGUUUACGACACCAUAAACCCAGACUACAUUCCUCUGCAACACAAAACCUCCGACGUAUAUGAAACAUUGCAAAUCAAAGAUGGACAGAACCGUGACAAUGUUGAAGAGUACGAGGAUGCAGACUUUUGAAAUCCCACCGCACAACCACUCAGCAUCACUGACAUUACUUAAUAAUAAUUAAUACACCUUUCAUAACCAUGUAUAUUAUAAUGUGUUAGAGAUGGUCCAAGCAAUGUGUAAAUAAAUGCAUUUUCAAUGAACUGUGUAUAAACUGUAUCAACUGUGCACAACAUUUGCUCUGUAC
Engraulis encrasicolus (European anchovy) is the source of this 344-nucleotide long non-coding RNA. RefSeq lists it as uncharacterized. NCBI's taxonomy places the organism in Eukaryota, Metazoa, Chordata, Actinopteri, Clupeiformes, Engraulidae. The record is from RefSeq and is a predicted model, not a curated record. The transcript has 3 exons.